This 199-nucleotide ribosomal RNA is filed under the name uncultured bacterium. RNAcentral's name for it is "partial 16S ribosomal RNA". It matches the Rfam family "Bacterial small subunit ribosomal RNA", at positions 1303 to 1500 of the family's 1533-position model. The record is from RNAcentral.
GGCUGAAACUCGCCUACAUGAAGCUGGAGUUACUAGUAAUCGCAGAUCAGAAUGCUGCGGUGAAUGCGUUCCCGGGUCUUGUACACACCGCCCGUCACACCACGGAAGUUGGGGCGCCCGAAGCCACUUAGCUAACCCAUUUGGGAAGCGAGUGUCGAAGGUGAAAUCAAUAACUGGGGUGAAGUCGUAACAAGGUACC